This 221-nucleotide long non-coding RNA is filed under the name Elaeis guineensis (African oil palm). Its description in RNAcentral is "long non-coding RNA (EGUI_LNC081711)". The record is from RNAcentral. Lineage: Eukaryota; Viridiplantae; Streptophyta; Magnoliopsida; Arecales; Arecaceae.
CCUUGUAUAAGUCAUUCAAACUUUAACACUAGUAAGAUAUCUUAUUUCAAUUCAGAAAUUCAAACUCUGACUUGAAUAAUUAAUACACUUCACCAUCUUCAACAAUCACAAGAAAAAUUAAAAAAAAUCUAAUCCAAAGAUAGUAAUAUGAAUUAUUAAAGAUUUCAUCAUAACCUGUAUAUCGUACUCUGACAAAAUAAAUUUUCUUCUUUACUUUAACA